RNAcentral lists this ribosomal RNA (68 nucleotides) under Ocynectes maschalis. RNAcentral describes it as "partial 16S rRNA". Lineage: Eukaryota; Metazoa; Chordata; Actinopteri; Perciformes; Cottidae. The record is from RNAcentral.
UGCUCAGCAGCUAGCCCACUUAAACAACUUCAACAAACCCUUGUUAAUAACCCCUAAUUACCCUAGUA